CCUACGGGUGGCAGCAGUGAGGAAUAUUGGUCAAUGGGCGCGAGCCUGAACCAGCCAAGUCGCGUGAGGGAAUACGGCCCUACGGGUUGUAAACCUCUUUUGCCGGGGAGCAACGUGCGCCACGUGUGGCGCCACUUAUGGUCCCCGUAGAAAAAGCCUCGGCUAACUCCGUGCCGGCAGCCGCGGUAAUACGGAGGAUGCGAGCGUUAUCCGGAUUUAUGGGGUUUAAGGGGUGCGUGGGCGGAGCGUUAAGUCAGUGGUCAAGUUUAGGGGCUCAACCCCUUCCCGCCAUUGAAACUGGCGCUCUUGAGUGGAAGAGAAGUAGGCGGAAUGCGUGGUGUAGCGGUGAAAUGCAUAGAUAUCACGCAGAACCCCGAUUGCGAAGGCAGCAUGCUGGACUCCGACUGACGCUGAAGCACGAAAGCGUGGGGAUCGAACAGGAUUAGAUACCCUUGUAGUC
This 460-nucleotide ribosomal RNA is filed under the name uncultured bacterium. RNAcentral describes it as "partial 16S ribosomal RNA". It matches the Rfam family "Bacterial small subunit ribosomal RNA", at positions 338 to 795 of the family's 1533-position model. The record is from RNAcentral.